AUUGAUUUCUCAUCUCAUAGCGAAGCCGUAGUUGUGAAUAGAAAAUUUGAAAUGCAAUCAAACAGAUCGCAGGCAGCGUACCCACCUGUCUUCUCUUAGAGAUUAAGAGAAGAAAUUAUUCAUUUAAGAGCGACGACCGAAUCCCAUUCAGCUCAAAUUCUGUGGUCACCAUGGAAAUUUGAAGAUAUUUAAGCUUUUUUCUCUUCCCAUAAAUCACCACUUAUUCUGAGAUUCCCCCCCUAUUUCCCUUUUCGUUACCUUCUUUUGUUUUCUUUUUUCGAAACAGAAGAUUCCCAUCUUGUUUACCAUUUUUCUUACAGUUACAGAGAAAUUACGAGGCUGUCAUUCGUAAAUCUCCACCAAAGCAAGAAAUUGGUGACGCGGGAGGCACCAACCAAGAAAAGGUGAAGAUUCUCCACUGACAGGACACCCCAUUUCUUGCAGNAGAAUUAUUAUUACUUCUUCCUAUUGUUAAUUAUACAUCAUACUCGUAGUGAUUGGUUAGCAAAGUUUACGCAGCGUUGGGCCGAGACCGAAGUGUUUCAGCGCAAGGUUGAAGUCUAAAUUUAAACAUUAAAUCUGAAAGUAGGAAUUUGUGGCUGUUUGGGGUGGAAUUCUAUAAUCAAACUGAUGCCAUAUUGAAAAAUUGGUUGGAGAUUUUGUAGCUCAGGUCAAUAGAAUUAUGGUCGUGGUCUCAAUUUUAUGAACCAGUGAUCGAAUAUGUCAAAAUUAAAGUCGUCUUCUCUUUUCUUUCUAAUAAUACAGUACAAUUAAUAAUAAUAAUGAUAAUAUAUUUACCAUAAUAUUUGACCAAAAAUUUCAUAUCAGAUAAAAUGCCGUGUUCCAAACGAAAUUACCCCAAAAAGAAUCCUCCCAUCUUCUCUUCCUUUUCUUCAUGUAGAAGUUGCGAAAAUCGAGCACGUAAUCACCCAAAAUAUUGUACACUAGUCUACAACAGUUUGGUAUUUUAGAUGAAAAGAUAAGUUUUCCCAUUACAAAAGAAAAGAUAAGUAUUUCUGGAAAAAUAUAAGUAUGGGUUAAUUAUCGACAUAAUUGGUGUGUGCAUUAGUUAUUUAACCAUUAUAACAUGUAUACUUUGAAGUUUGAACCUAAUUAGUCAAAACAAUCGAUGACACUCCACUACACACCACACCAUGCUUGUGGCGUGAGACACCCAUGUACCAUUUUAAUAUUAAUGAAUAAUGAUAAAGAAAUAUUCUUUACAAAUAUUUUUAAGAAUUCGAAUUUAUAAAUUUUAAUACGUCAACUAGGUGGGGUAAGUCAAAUUAAACAAUUAAUUGAUUUCUCAUCUCAUAGCGAAGCCGUAGUUGUGAAUAGAAAAUUUGAAAUGCAAUCAAACAGAUCGCAGGCAGCGUACCCACCUGUCUUCUCUUAGAGAUUAAGAGAAGAAAUUAUUCAUUUAAGAGCGACGACCGAAUCCCAUUCAGCUCAAAUUCUGUGGUCACCAUGGAAAUUUGAAGAUAUUUAAGCUUUUUUCUCUUCCCAUAAAUCACCACUUAUUCUGAGAUUCCCCCCUAUUUCCCUUUUCGUUACCUUCUUUUGUUUUCUUUUUUCGAAACAGAAGAUCCCAUCUUGUUUACCAUUUUUCUUACAGUUACAGAGAAAUUACGAGGCUGUCAUUCGUAAAUCUCCACCAAAGCAAGAAAAUUGGUGACGCGGGAGGCACCAACCAAGAAAAAG
RNAcentral lists this long non-coding RNA (1701 nucleotides) under Salvia miltiorrhiza (redroot sage). Its description in RNAcentral is "long non-coding RNA (SMIL_LNC005015)". The record is from RNAcentral. Lineage: Eukaryota; Viridiplantae; Streptophyta; Magnoliopsida; Lamiales; Lamiaceae.